Clupea harengus (Atlantic herring) is the source of this 595-nucleotide long non-coding RNA. NCBI's taxonomy places the organism in Eukaryota, Metazoa, Chordata, Actinopteri, Clupeiformes, Clupeidae. The record is from Ensembl.
CUGCUGACCUUCUGUGAGUUUGAGAAAAGCUAUUAUUCAAAACAUCAAGUACUGAAAUGUUUGAUAGGAUAAGAGUCUCUAUGUGACAGUGUGACACGCUUAAGUAUUUUGGUCUUUGUGUUUUUAGAGAGAAUAUGCGUGCUGUUGUAGAGCAUUGCUUGUAGACCUGAUAAUACCUACAGUACAUCUGUUACUGAUCUGGUGUGGAUAGGAUGUCACAUUAGUUCAAGUGGAAGCGGCGGACUUGAGAGAGGUGUUUGUGUGGUGCAGCUUGAGAGAGGUGUUUGUGUGGUGCAGUUUGAGAGAGGUGUUUGCGCUGGUGCAGUUUGAGAGAGGUGUUUGUGCAGCUUGAGAGAGGUGUUUGUGCAGCUUGAGAGAGGUGUUUGUGCAGCUUGAGAGAGGUGUUUGUGCAGCUUGAGAGAGGUGUGUGUGCAGCUUGAGAGAGGUGUUUGUGCAGCUUGAGAGAGGUGUUUGUGUGGUGCAGCUUGAGAGAGGUGUUUGUGCAGCUUGAGAGAGGUGUGUGUGCAGCUUGAGAGAGGUGUUUGUGUGGUGCAGCUUGAGAGAGGUGUUUGUGCUGGUGAAGUGUACCGUAACA